AGAGUUUGAUCCUGGCUCAGAACGUACGCUGGCGGCACGCCUUAUACAUGCAAGUCGAACGAAGUAGUAAUACUUAGUGGCAGACGGGUGAGUAACAUGUGGGUAUCUUCCCUUUGGUGAGGAAUAACACGAGGAAACUUGUGCUAAUACCUCAUAAGUCUUCACGGAGAAAGCUUUAUGCGCCAAUGGAUGAGCCCGCACUUGAUUAGUUUGUUGGUGGGGUAAUAGCCUACCAAGACUUUGAUCAAUAGCUGAUUUGAGAGGAUGAUCAGCCACAUUGGGUCUGAGACACGGCCCAAACUCCUACGGGAGGCAGCAGUAGGGAAUCUUGCACAAUGGAGGAAACUCUGAUGCAGCGAUGCCGCGUGAGUGAAGAAGGCCUUUGGGCUGUAAAGCUCUUUCGUCGGGGAAGAAAAUGACUGUACCCGAAUAAGAAGGUCCGGCUAACUUCGUGCCAGCAGCCGCGGUAAUACGAAGGGACCUAGCGUAGUUCGGAAUUACUGGGCUUAAAGAGUUCGUAGGUGGUUAAAAAAGUUGGUGGUGAAAUCCCAGAGCUUAACUCUGGAACUGCCAUCAAAACUUUUUAGCUAGAGUAUGAUAGAGGAAAGCAGAAUUUCUAGUGUAGAGGUGAAAUUCGUAGAUAUUAGAAAGAAUACCAAUUGCGAAGGCAGCUUUCUGGAUCGUUACUGACACUGAGGAACGAAAGCAUGGGUAG
This 715-nucleotide ribosomal RNA is filed under the name uncultured Alphaproteobacteria bacterium. RNAcentral's name for it is "bacterial SSU rRNA". It matches the Rfam family "Bacterial small subunit ribosomal RNA", at positions 8 to 768 of the family's 1533-position model. The record is from RNAcentral. Lineage: Bacteria; Pseudomonadati; Pseudomonadota; Alphaproteobacteria.